RNAcentral lists this ribosomal RNA (274 nucleotides) under uncultured bacterium. RNAcentral's name for it is "partial 16S ribosomal RNA". It matches the Rfam family "Bacterial small subunit ribosomal RNA", at positions 644 to 916 of the family's 1533-position model. The record is from RNAcentral.
GAGGUCGGGAGAGGGAUGCGGAAUUCCAGGUGUAGCGGUGAAAUGCGUAGAUAUCUGGAGGAACACCGGUGGCGAAGGCGGCAUCCUGGACCAACACUGACGCUGAGGAGCGAAAGCCAGGGGAGCAAACGGGAUUAGAUACCCCGGUAGUCCUGGCCCUAAACGAUGAAUGCUUGGUGUGGCGGGUAUCGAUCCCUGCCGUGCCGAAGCUAACGCAUUAAGCAUUCCGCCUGGGGAGUACGGUCGCAAGGCUGAAACUCAAAUGAAUUGACGG